Molecule: ribosomal RNA, 522 nt
Filed under: Hyblaea puera (teak defoliator)
Lineage: Eukaryota; Metazoa; Arthropoda; Insecta; Lepidoptera; Hyblaeidae
Description: partial 16S ribosomal RNA
Rfam family: Archaeal large subunit ribosomal RNA (bases 1-181)
Source: RNAcentral
GCCGCGGGAAUUCGUUCGCCUGUUAUCAAAAACAUGUCUUUUUGAAAUUAAUUUAAGGUCUAAUCUGCCCACUGAUAUUAUAUUAAAGGGCUGCAGUAUUUUGACUGUACAAAGGUAGCAUAAUCAUUAGUCUCUUAAUUGGUGACUUGUAUGAAAGAUUGGAUGAAAUAUAAGCUGUCUCUUUAUUAAUAAUAGAAUUUAAUUUUUUUAUUAAAAAGUAAAAAUAAAUUUAAAAGACGAGAAGACCCUAUAGAGUUUUAUAAAAUAAUUAUUUAAUAUUAUAUAUUAAUUUUAUAUUGAUAAUAAUUAUUUUAUUUUGUUGGGGUGAUAAAAAAAUAUAAUUAACUUUUUUUAUAUAUUAACAUAAAUAAGUGAUUAAUUGAUCCAAAAUUUUUGAUUAUAAGAAUAAAUUACCUUAGGGAUAACAGCGUAAUUUUUUUUUUAGUACAAAUAAGAAAAAGAGUUGCGACCUCGAUGUGGAUAAGAUAAAAUUAAAUCAAAAGUGAAAUUGACGCGCAAAUC